Molecule: ribosomal RNA, 1244 nt
Filed under: metagenome
Description: bacterial LSU rRNA
Rfam family: Bacterial large subunit ribosomal RNA
Source: RNAcentral
UAGGGGGACGCAGGAAGGUAGAUGAACCCGGUGAAUGGUAGAACCGGGGUAAGCGUGUAGGAGGAGGACCAGGUAAAUCCGGGCCUCAUAAACUCUGAGACGUGAUACCGAGCCGCUUCAGGCGAAGUCAUUGAUCCUAUGCUGCCUAGAAAAGCCCAGCAGCGAGUUGACAUGGUGCCCGUACCCCAAACCAACACAGGUGGACAGGUAGAGCAUACCAAGGCGAGUGGGAUAACUAUGGUUAAGGAACUCGGCAAAUUGCCUCCGUAACUUCGGGAGAAGGAGGACCCCAGUAGCGUGAUGAGACUUGCUCUCUGAGCGUGAAGGGGUGGCACAAAAUUGAGGGAAGCGACUGUUUACCAAAAACACAGCAGCGUGCUAAGCCGUAAGGCGCUGUAUACGCUGUGACUCCUGCCCGGUGCUGGAAGGUUACGGGGAUGGGUUAGUCCUUCGGGACGAAGCUCUGAACCUAAGCCCCAGUAAACGGCGGCCGUAACUAUAACGGUCCUAAGGUAGCGAAAUUCCUUGUCGGGUAAGUUCCGACCUGCACGAAUGGAGUAACGACUUCCCUACUGUCUCAACCAUAGACCCAGCGAAAUUGAAGUACGAGUAAAGAUGCUCGUUAGCUGCAGAAGGACGGAAAGACCCCGCGGACCUUUACUAUAACUUGAUGUUGUGUUUUGUCAUAUGUUGUGUAGGAUAGGUGGGAGACUUGGAAGCAUGGACGCUAGUCUGUGUGGAGUCAUCGUUGAAAUACCACCCUGCAUAUGGUGAGGCUCUAACCUUGACCCGUUAUCCGGGUUGGGGACAGCGUCAGGCGGGUAGUUUAACUGGGGCGGUUGCCUCCUAAAGAGUAACGGAGGCGCCCAAAGGUUCCCUCAGCCUGGUUGGCAAUCAGGCGUUGAGUGCAAUGGCAAAAGGGAGCUUGACUGCGAGACCUACAAGUCGAGCAGGAGCGAAAGCUGGGCAUAGUGAUCCGGCGGUUGCGUGUGGAAGCGCCGUCGCUCAACGGAUAAAAGGUACCCCGGGGAUAACAGGCUAAUCUUGCCCAAGCGUCCAUAGCGACGGCAAGGUUUGGCACCUCGAUGUCGGCUCAUCGCAUCCUGGGGCUGAAGCAGGUCCCAAGGGUUGGGCUGUUCGCCCAUUAAAGCGGUACGCGAGCUGGGUUCAGAACGUCGUGAGACAGUUCGGUCCCUAUCCUCUGCAGCCGGAGGUGAAUUGAGGAAAGCUGUCCCUAGUACGAG